CAAGAAAAGACAAAAAUUUAAA
Molecule: small RNA, 22 nt
Filed under: Arabidopsis thaliana (thale cress)
Lineage: Eukaryota; Viridiplantae; Streptophyta; Magnoliopsida; Brassicales; Brassicaceae
Description: ATSL233730
Source: RNAcentral